Molecule: non-coding RNA, 1113 nt
Organism: Poecilia reticulata (guppy)
Lineage: Eukaryota; Metazoa; Chordata; Actinopteri; Cyprinodontiformes; Poeciliidae
Source: RefSeq, a predicted model, not a curated record
UUUGACUGAUGCGCCGCAAUCAGACAGCGGCGUGAUGGGCUCAGUGUGAGGAGGAAGCUUUCAUUCACAUCCACGCCGGAGAAAUGACUGGAAAACCUUUCUGGCUGCUGCACAAAAUCAAAACCAACCUGGAUUAGAAACAGCUAUUAUUAAAACCAUAAAGGUUCUGGACUUUAACACGCAGUAGUUACAGAAAUCCACCCUCAGAUGAGCGACGCAUUAAUGACCCGAUCGGCACCAGGCUGAGCUCCUCCAGGAAACCAGCAGCUGCCGAUCAUCCAGAGGCAGAAACCCUCUGAGCUCAGACCCUACAGGCCUCAGCUAUGAUGCUAAAGGUCAAAGUUCAAACAGGCUUAGAACGACUGAAGGAUCCAAAUCGUGAUGAACCGGAGGAUUCAGUUCACUGAAAGACCGUAACAGUAAUUAUGUGUCAAAAGGUACACAUUUAAAAUAAAAACCUUUUUACUUUGGACGUUUGUUCUACACAGAAACUUAUCAAGCAACAUUUUAGUGACGUUUCAUUACGUCAGUGAAACUGUUGAUGUUUUUAGCUGCAGGUGGAUCCUCUGCCUCCAACGCCCACCUGCUCUCUGGAGGAAUGAUGUGUUACAGUUUCUGCCUUCUGCAGCAGAAACACUUCACUGAUGUUUCCUGUGCGUGAACUCGGUCAGAACGUAUCCCAUUCAUAUGUGCUUACACCUCGCUUUGCUGAGUCGUCGGGUUUCCAGCCAAUCAGCUCUUAAAGGGCCCGUUUUGCUGGCGCUGAAUGUGUUGUUUGUGCCGUUUCCAUGGCGCCUUCGGGAGCCGUUUUUAAGGAAAAUGUUUGCUCAUUAGUCGCCUUAAUGCAAAUUCACUCAGCAUUGUUCAGAUGUGAAUCAGCAUUGCUCUGGUAAUGACUGCUAGAAAAGCAAUUACCUUUGUAAUCACGGCUUCCCUCCUAAUGACUUUUCUUCAAAUAUACAUUUAUAAUUCAGAGCUACAGAACCACGGUGAUCUGGGGAAAGCUAAAGGAGUAGUUCUGUAAGAGCUGUCUGACUGUUUCAGUUGAAAGCGAAAGAUGAGGGAUUGGAGGAAGCGGUCCAGCUGGUUCUGUUCGUCUGAAGACUGAUGGAC